GUGAAUCAUCAAAUUUUUGAACGCAAAUUGCACUCUCUGGUAUUCCGGAGAGUAUGCCUGUUUGAGGGUCAGUUUAAAUAAAAAUCGGUGUGGUUGCUGCCUUUCGUGGUGACGCAUCGGAUUUGGGUCGUCUUGACUUCGGUUAAGUGACCUAUAUUGUCGCAUGAUUUUUUCGAACGUAUUUAAUUGAUUUUACGUACGUUUGCGAUAUUGAAUACUAGGUGCGGCCAUUC
RNAcentral lists this unclassified non-coding RNA (233 nucleotides) under Glomus sp. Its description in RNAcentral is "partial contains 5.8S ribosomal RNA and internal transcribed spacer 2". The stretch from base 1 to 71 matches the Rfam family "5.8S ribosomal RNA", at positions 84 to 154 of the family's 154-position model. The record is from RNAcentral. Lineage: Eukaryota; Fungi; Glomeromycota; Glomeromycetes; Glomerales; Glomeraceae.